GACGAACGCUGGCGGCGUGCUUAACACAUGCCAGUCGAACGGAAAGGCCCUGCUUUUGUGGGGUGCUCGAGUGGCGAACGGGUGAGUAACACGUGAGUAACCUGCCCUUGACUUUGGGAUAACUUCAGGAAACUGGGGCUAAUACCGGAUAGGAGCUCCUGCUGCAUGGUGGGGGUUGGAAAGUUUCGGCGGUUGGGGAUGGACUCGCGGCUUAUCAGCUUGUUGGUGGGGUAGUGGCUUACCAAGGCUUUGACGGGUAGCCGGCCUGAGAGGGUGACCGGCAAAAUUGGGAAUGAGAGACGGCCCAGACGCCUACGGGAGGAAGCAGGGGGGAAGAUUGAACAAUGGGCGGAAGCCUGAUGCAGCAACGCCGCGUGGGGGAUGAAGGCCUUCGGGUUGUAAACAGAUUUCGGCGGUGAAGAAGAGUGAGUGAAGGUAAUGGGUAAAGAAGCACCGGCUAACUACGUG
Molecule: ribosomal RNA, 468 nt
Filed under: uncultured bacterium
Lineage: Bacteria
Description: partial 16S ribosomal RNA
Rfam family: Bacterial small subunit ribosomal RNA
Source: RNAcentral